GUAGAGACAAAAGUAAUGACACCUACAUGAAUUAUAAUCGCUUUUCAGGUUUUCCUCCUAAGUCUGCGGGGCAUGUGGAAAAAAAUAGUUGCAAAAUAACUAUUUAGCUAGCAGUCUCCUAAAGAGUGUCCUCAACACACCCACCGCUCCAGGCCUCCUCCUUAAACUACUUCUCCAACAACCGGAAUCCGUCUCUAAAGUUUCUGUCUGGCGAUCUGCGCGCAUAGGUUCAAACCUAGGAAAAUGGGAUCCAAACACAGGGAGGAAGAAAAAAAAACGUCCUUUCCCCUUUGGCUGUGAACUUUCCCUUCUGGUAAGUUCUCCUUUAAGAAAUGAACUGUUCCCUAUGAAUAUUUAAUGCUGUUUGUCUGAAGUAUCCAGAUGACGCGUACUGGAGCCUGCCUCACAUACAGGUCCUGAAUUAUGGUGGAGUAAAUCAGCACCCUCUAAACGCACCCACCGCAAUGAGUUCUGGUGGCAUCCAGUUGCUAAUGCUAUUAAGCAUACGUAUUCCACACGAGAGAAAAGAAAAGGUUGGGAGAGGAAAAAGGAGGAGGGGGAAGGGGGAUUAAAAAGAGGAAGAGGUUGAAGGGAAAGAGGCUGGGGCAGGGGAACCCAGGCUUAGGAAUGAGUAAGAUAUUUUGUUCAUUUCCAUAAGAAAGCUGAAAUCACAGUUGGAAGCAGGAUUUCUUGCCCCAACAGCCCCCUUUUCUGCAAGAAGCAGGCUCGCGAGCUCAGAACCAUAAGUGUGUACUUUUGUCUUUGAUUGUGUAGAUAAAAUGUGGUUUCAUAUUUUGCUCAAAAUGAGACCGGUUUCCUGUCUGUGUAUCGAGUGGAAGAACACCGCAAGGGAGAAGUAGCCACACAGGACGUGAAAGAGUCUCAGCAGGGCAAGAAAGUACCAGGACUGCUUAGGACAGAGCCAGGAUUCCUGGAGCACUCUGUCUUUGGCAUCACUGCCCCCAGAAGGCAUAUUCCUGCCUGUGACCUAAAACAAGUCCAAACCAGCUACCUAACUGAAGUCAACUCCAGUCGCCUCUCACAGUACUACCAGUACCCCUAGUUCGCCUGACAACAAAAAACCCAGCAAGUCUCUGCUUGAACUAGCUUGGAAGCCAAGCCAAACCAACACCAGAGUCACCAACCCACAUCAUUCGGUCAGUUUGGAAACAGAAGGGGCCAGACCCUCUCCCAUCUCCUAACAGCCUCACCAAAAUGGAUAGAUUCUUAAAGCCCAACAGACACCAGAGUGCCAUUUAAAACCUAGGCACGUUUUUGGAGCCCAAGGGAACAAUUGACUAGAUUCAGUGUCUCUGGAACUGGGUACAUGCCUGUAAGGUGUGUGAUCCUUUAAAGAUCCGUGUUACUAGCUUUGCAUGAAGGCUUUGUUACAGCUUUGUCAGCUUGCUUGCAUUCAGCAACCUUGCUCCCACCCCCACCCUCCCUUUUCCUCUUCUCCCCUCAACUGCCUAUUCUAGCAAUGCCUGGCUGAGUUGUUUUGAAG
This 1504-nucleotide long non-coding RNA is filed under the name Phascolarctos cinereus (koala). RNAcentral's name for it is "lncRNA (ENSPCIG00000036968.1)". The record is from RNAcentral. Lineage: Eukaryota; Metazoa; Chordata; Mammalia; Diprotodontia; Phascolarctidae.